RNAcentral lists this ribosomal RNA (1370 nucleotides) under Klebsiella pneumoniae UCI 63. RNAcentral's name for it is "bacterial SSU rRNA". It matches the Rfam family "Bacterial small subunit ribosomal RNA", at positions 8 to 1370 of the family's 1533-position model. Lineage: Bacteria; Pseudomonadati; Pseudomonadota; Gammaproteobacteria; Enterobacterales; Enterobacteriaceae. The record is from RNAcentral.
AGAGUUUGAUCAUGGCUCAGAUUGAACGCUGGCGGCAGGCCUAACACAUGCAAGUCGAGCGGUAGCACAGAGAGCUUGCUCUCGGGUGACGAGCGGCGGACGGGUGAGUAAUGUCUGGGAAACUGCCUGAUGGAGGGGGAUAACUACUGGAAACGGUAGCUAAUACCGCAUAACGUCGCAAGACCAAAGUGGGGGACCUUCGGGCCUCAUGCCAUCAGAUGUGCCCAGAUGGGAUUAGCUAGUAGGUGGGGUAACGGCUCACCUAGGCGACGAUCCCUAGCUGGUCUGAGAGGAUGACCAGCCACACUGGAACUGAGACACGGUCCAGACUCCUACGGGAGGCAGCAGUGGGGAAUAUUGCACAAUGGGCGCAAGCCUGAUGCAGCCAUGCCGCGUGUGUGAAGAAGGCCUUCGGGUUGUAAAGCACUUUCAGCGGGGAGGAAGGCGAUAAGGUUAAUAACCUUGUCGAUUGACGUUACCCGCAGAAGAAGCACCGGCUAACUCCGUGCCAGCAGCCGCGGUAAUACGGAGGGUGCAAGCGUUAAUCGGAAUUACUGGGCGUAAAGCGCACGCAGGCGGUCUGUCAAGUCGGAUGUGAAAUCCCCGGGCUCAACCUGGGAACUGCAUUCGAAACUGGCAGGCUAGAGUCUUGUAGAGGGGGGUAGAAUUCCAGGUGUAGCGGUGAAAUGCGUAGAGAUCUGGAGGAAUACCGGUGGCGAAGGCGGCCCCCUGGACAAAGACUGACGCUCAGGUGCGAAAGCGUGGGGAGCAAACAGGAUUAGAUACCCUGGUAGUCCACGCCGUAAACGAUGUCGAUUUGGAGGUUGUGCCCUUGAGGCGUGGCUUCCGGAGCUAACGCGUUAAAUCGACCGCCUGGGGAGUACGGCCGCAAGGUUAAAACUCAAAUGAAUUGACGGGGGCCCGCACAAGCGGUGGAGCAUGUGGUUUAAUUCGAUGCAACGCGAAGAACCUUACCUGGUCUUGACAUCCACAGAACUUUCCAGAGAUGGAUUGGUGCCUUCGGGAACUGUGAGACAGGUGCUGCAUGGCUGUCGUCAGCUCGUGUUGUGAAAUGUUGGGUUAAGUCCCGCAACGAGCGCAACCCUUAUCCUUUGUUGCCAGCGGUCCGGCCGGGAACUCAAAGGAGACUGCCAGUGAUAAACUGGAGGAAGGUGGGGAUGACGUCAAGUCAUCAUGGCCCUUACGACCAGGGCUACACACGUGCUACAAUGGCAUAUACAAAGAGAAGCGACCUCGCGAGAGCAAGCGGACCUCAUAAAGUAUGUCGUAGUCCGGAUUGGAGUCUGCAACUCGACUCCAUGAAGUCGGAAUCGCUAGUAAUCGUAGAUCAGAAUGCUACGGUGAAUACG